Molecule: long non-coding RNA, 1300 nt
Organism: Hermetia illucens (black soldier fly)
Lineage: Eukaryota; Metazoa; Arthropoda; Insecta; Diptera; Stratiomyidae
Exons: 2
Source: RefSeq, a predicted model, not a curated record
AGCCGAUCUCACAACAAAGAGGGGAAAAAAUAGACAAUGAGAAGUUAUGAAAGAAUAUUCCCAAUUUAGUAAAGUAAAAUAAAUUAAAACUCCAUAAUUUGGGAUAAGAUAGAUCCAUAGAUUGCUUUCUGAUUAUCUUAAACAAUUCAGCUUCGUUUUGCUUUAAAAAUUGCACUUGGUUAUCAAUAAAAAUAUCUGGUUGGUGACCAGUUUAUCGCUGUUAAAAAUAAAUUAAAAAAUAUCACAUUAUCAAUACAAAUGCAUGCCACUAUAUAUUCUACAAAUAUAUUUUUGGAAAGAUUCAAGGUAAAAAAAAGCAAAAAAAAUAUUAAUAAGGUAUCGGUGAAAAAACAAAUCCUCCACGCGAAUAAUGCUCAGUUUUACAAAGGUUUUGAUGGAUUUAUGUUGAGUUUUAAGAAAGUCCAAAUUGCAAAAUAUAAAAUGGAUAGAAAGGAGACAGCGAAAUUGUGGAAUACUAAUUGGAGAAAUAAAAACAAAUGGAAGAGAAGAACAAAUGGAGCAAAAAAGAAACGAAGAAAUGAACAAAGGAAAAUAAUUAAAAAAGCUGAAAAAAUUUAAAAAAUAAAAAAAAAAUCACAAAAAAAAGGAAAAUAAACCAAAAAAUAUAAUCGAUGGAUUUUUUAAUAUAAAUCAAAGAAUGAAUAAAUUCAAACGGUAGAACAAUUUUUACGAAACAUGGAACUUCCGUAAAAGAAAAAUAAAAACGAUGCAAAGCACAACCAACAUUACGAAUAAAAAUCUUUAAAACUUUAGAUACACGAUGAAUAAUUCACUUCAAGUUUUCUCAUACUGAUCCAGUAAUACCAAUGCAGAUAUACAUAAACACAUAUCUAUGCUCAUUUACAAUGAUAUAUGCAUAAUAUAUAUAUAUUCAAAAAGAAUGUAACACCUUAAUCAGAAACAUCAAAAAUUAGGGAGAAGGUCAGAUAGGAAAACAACAUUUAGAAAAAAGAUAAAACACAUCAAAUUGUAGAAUUAUUAUUCAAUUAAUAUAUGUAUAUACCGAAAAGAAAAUCUGUAUAUAAAUAUAUUUUCUUCAUUUUACUAAGAAAUAACGAAGAUUCUUAUUCAUUAUUCUCACUUAAGAAACAUUUUUAACAGCAAUUCAUAAUUAGAAGUGAAAAUAGAUAUUUGCGUUCCAUACAAUACGAUUAAAAUACACUGAACUUAUUUUGAACGUUAAAUACUAAAAAAAAUCAAUCGAUUAAACUGUUAUUGGAAACAAUGAAUAAAAUAGAUUCAAUUUUUUUUGUGCAAACCAAAGCUUUUGUUUUUUUUU